CGGGUGUAGCUCAGUUGGUUAGAGCGCCAGAUUGUGGCUCUGGAGGUCGUCAGUUCGACUCUGAUUAC
This 68-nucleotide transfer RNA is filed under the name bovine gut metagenome. It matches the Rfam family "tRNA", at positions 5 to 66 of the family's 71-position model. From Rfam's summary of the family: Transfer RNA (tRNA) molecules are approximately 80 nucleotides in length. Their secondary structure includes four short double-helical elements and three loops (D, anti-codon, and T loops). The record is from RNAcentral.